GCCUUCCUUUUGUUGUGGAAUCUCAGCAACCAUCCAUUGUAUGUCGAGAGGGUCCGUAACUGGUUUCUCUACGUAUGACUUUGUAGUCUUGAAGUCAAUGUCUUUGCGUUUACCGUAGAAACCAGUGCAUGACAAAUAAAGAGGAAUAAUGACUGCAAAUUUUUCAACCAAGGUUUGAACAGUUUUGUUACGCUUUGCCCUCUCCAAUGAAUCAUAAACAUACAGUUGCCGGUCCUUUAUGUCAAACACUAACAACAACCAAU
This 263-nucleotide long non-coding RNA is filed under the name Nicotiana benthamiana. Its description in RNAcentral is "long non-coding RNA (NBEN_LNC013317)". Lineage: Eukaryota; Viridiplantae; Streptophyta; Magnoliopsida; Solanales; Solanaceae. The record is from RNAcentral.